This is a long non-coding RNA of Eupeodes corollae, 440 nucleotides long. RefSeq lists it as uncharacterized. The record is from RefSeq and is a predicted model, not a curated record. Lineage: Eukaryota; Metazoa; Arthropoda; Insecta; Diptera; Syrphidae. The transcript is spliced from 3 exons.
GUAGGUAAGUGGUUAUGUACUCUUUUUAAAACUUUAUGUUGACAUUCAAAAAAGGAGACUUUCUUGGUCUAUAAGGAAAAAUGCAACAACAACAAACUUUAUUAAUACCAAUGACUAGGUAAGAAAUUAAUAUAUUCAACAGUGUGUUCAGUGCUUUAAUUUGGAUUUGAUUUGGAUAAGUGUGAAACAUGCAAGAAACUCGUGGAAUCAUGUUUACACCAACAAAACUACUAAGGGGCUUAAGUAUAUACAAAUUACUGCUAAUUAGGAAGGGAAACAAGACAACAAAACCUGAAUAAUUAUGGUUGGUGAUAGCGACUUUGGAUGCAAUUUGGAGCAAUUGAGCGUUAUGAAAAAAACCAAAUAAAAAUAAAACAGAUCUGAAUAAUUCAUAAUUAUGCCCAAUCAGCAGUGACGGCAUUUGGGAAUUGUGAGCUUGG